RNAcentral lists this ribosomal RNA (779 nucleotides) under uncultured Neocallimastigales. Its description in RNAcentral is "partial large subunit ribosomal RNA". It matches the Rfam family "Eukaryotic large subunit ribosomal RNA", at positions 24 to 614 of the family's 3401-position model. The record is from RNAcentral. Lineage: Eukaryota; Fungi; Neocallimastigomycota; Neocallimastigomycetes; Neocallimastigales.
UUAUCUCUGUAGAGUCUGCAUAUCAAUAAGCGGAGGAAAAGAAACUAACUAAGGAUUCCCUUAGUAACUGGCGAGUGAAGCGGGAAGAGCUCAAAUUUGAAAUCUUCAAGGUUUUACCUUGACGAAUUGUAGUUUAUAGAAGUGUUUUCUGUUAGUGGAGUUGGUAAAAGUUCUUUGGUAUAGGACAUCAUAGAGGGUGAGAAUCCCGUAUUUGACCAUUACUUCCUAGCGUUGUGAUACACUUUCAAAGAGUCGGAUUGUUUGGGAAUGCAGUCCAAAAUGGGUGGUAAAUUUCAUCUAAAGCUAAAUACUGGCGAGAGACCGAUAGCGAACAAGUACCGUGAGGGAAAGAUGAAAAGAACUUUGAAAAGAGAGUUAAACAGUACGUGAAAUUGUCAAAAGGGAAGCGUUUGACACCAGUGUUGUUUUCUCGAAAAUCAAUUAAAAAUGGCGGGAUUUUGUGUUGUAUUGACUUUAUCAGCUUUCUGCACUUUUUUCCUGUCUUUUUUAAUGCACUUUUCGUUUAACAAGUCAACAUCAAUUUCUUUUGUUGUAAAAGGGUCAUUGGAAGGUGGCUUUCUUUUCGGAGAAAGUGUUUAUAGCCUUUGGCCUCUGCAAUCGGAGAGAUUGAGGUCUGCAGCGUAGAUCCUUCGGGGUUAGAUACAUUUGUGCUAAGUUAUAGCCUUUCAUAGACAACUUGUUGACUAUGAUCAGUCAUGUAGCUUACUCGCUUAUGCUAUUUUACCUACGCUUAGGAUGUUGAGUCAUCACACAUCUCU